Molecule: non-coding RNA, 21 nt
Filed under: Caenorhabditis elegans
Lineage: Eukaryota; Metazoa; Nematoda; Chromadorea; Rhabditida; Rhabditidae
Source: RNAcentral
UACUGACAAAAAAAAAAUAAA